Molecule: ribosomal RNA, 462 nt
Filed under: Dendropsophus dutrai
Lineage: Eukaryota; Metazoa; Chordata; Amphibia; Anura; Hylidae
Description: partial 12S ribosomal RNA
Rfam family: Bacterial small subunit ribosomal RNA
Source: RNAcentral
UGGUCCUGGCCUUGAAAUCAGUUCUUACUUAGUAUACACAUGCAAGUCUCCGCACCCCUGUGAAAACGCCCUUAAACCUCUCUAAGAGCUGAGGAGCCGGUAUCAGGCACAAAAAUUGGCCCAAGACACCUAGCUACGCCACACCCACACGGGCAAUCAGCAGUGAUUAAUAUUGUAAAUAAGCGACAGCUUGAAGCAGCUAAAGUAAAGAGAGCCGGCAAAUCUGGUGCCAGCCGCCGCGGUUACACCAUAUGGCUCGAACUGAUAUCCUCCGGCGUAAAGCGUGAUUAAAGUGCCUAAUAAUCUGCAAUUUAAUUAUAACUAGACUGUGACACGUUUGUUAUUAAGAAAGCCAAAACCGAAAGAUAUUGCAAUCUUAACAACUUGAAUUCACGACAACUAGGACACAAACUGGGAUUAGAUACCCCACUAUGCCUAGUCGUAAACUUUUAUUUACCCCCA